Molecule: long non-coding RNA, 409 nt
Filed under: Coffea arabica (coffee)
Lineage: Eukaryota; Viridiplantae; Streptophyta; Magnoliopsida; Gentianales; Rubiaceae
Description: long non-coding RNA (CARA_LNC006977)
Source: RNAcentral
UACUUUUGCGUGGUAUGUUUGUUUACUAUUAUGAAUGCAUGGUUAGUUCUUACUUUUUUUCAUGCCUUUUUAAUUGCUUUAUUUAUCGAAUCUUUUUUUUUUGAUGUAGGUUUAAUAUUAUACCAAGAAGAUUGCAUUUGGACGUCUAACCUUUCGACCAUUGAAAUGCACAAUACAGGUGUAAAUUCUUCUAAUUUACAUUAGUUCGUUCUUAUUUAUUUAUUUUUAAAAUUUUGCAUUGAUUAAUUGAUUAUGGCGUGAAAAUGGAAGCAAGAUGGACUUGUAUGGUAACGAAUUUAUCCUUCUCUUCUCCUCAUUUUAACCCUAUUUAAUAGUUUUAUAUAUUUUUAAUUUAUUAAAAGUAUUAAAUUUUUUCAUAAUCGUAAACCAUAUUGCACGAGUUAAAAUC